This 75-nucleotide transfer RNA is filed under the name Spongiactinospora gelatinilytica. It matches the Rfam family "tRNA". From Rfam's summary of the family: Transfer RNA (tRNA) molecules are approximately 80 nucleotides in length. Lineage: Bacteria; Bacillati; Actinomycetota; Actinomycetes; Streptosporangiales; Streptosporangiaceae. RNAcentral also lists the same sequence under 1 other name. The record is from Rfam by way of RNAcentral.
CGGGACGUGGCCUAGUUUGGUUAGGGCACUUGACUGGGGGUCAAGAGGUCGCCGGUUCGAAUCCGGCCGUCCCGA